Molecule: transfer RNA, 88 nt
Filed under: Puniceicoccales bacterium
Lineage: Bacteria; Pseudomonadati; Verrucomicrobiota; Opitutia; Puniceicoccales
Description: tRNA-Ser
Rfam family: tRNA
About the family: Transfer RNA (tRNA) molecules are approximately 80 nucleotides in length.
Source: RNAcentral
GGAGAGAUGGCAGAGUGGCCUAUCGCGGCGGCCUUGAAAUCCGCUGAGGCGCAAGCCUCCGGGGGUUCGAAUCCCUCUCUCUCCGCCA